Molecule: long non-coding RNA, 563 nt
Organism: Mesocricetus auratus (golden hamster)
Lineage: Eukaryota; Metazoa; Chordata; Mammalia; Rodentia; Cricetidae
Exons: 2
Source: RefSeq, a predicted model, not a curated record
AGCAGAGGACCCGGAGUCAGGGCUGUGUGAGCCUGUGCCCGCACACUGCCACCCGGUCUCUGUCUCACAUCUAAAGGGAGAGGGGACCUUUCACGCGCUCCCCGAGGGUUUAAGACAGACGUGCGCGUCAGCUGCGUUUGAACGCCAGCCGCCCUCAGUGGCAGCUCUUCACGUAUGAUUAGGAGCGGCUCUAAUACACCGUGUAUUUGGAGCGACAGCAAGACCAGGCUGGCGUUGGCAGUGCUCUCAGACAACUGCCCUCGUCACUCUGCCUCCUCCCAAGGUGACCCAGCUGAGCUGCUGCGAGUGAGGAAGGAAAGGCAGUUGAAAAAGAGAUCUACCUUCUAUCUCGUUUGGCCUCUUGCUGUCAUUUUCUGAAAUGAAUCAGAGACAGCCAACCAGAGGCUCCCAAGAUGCCACCGAACACCAGGCCUUUCUUUUUUGUUGGUUUGUGGGACAGGAGAGGGUGUCGUUGGCUCACCCGCCACUCCCCCAAAGGGAUAGCGUUCUGUCGAUGACCAGACCAUCAAACCGAGAUCAAACAUGACUUGUUCACCCUAAAA